AUUGAACGCUGGCGGCAUGCCUUACACAUGCAAGUCGAACGGUAACAGGUCAAGCUGACGAGUGGCGAACGGGUGAGUAAUAUAUCGGAACGUGCCCAGUCGUGGGGGAUAACGUAGCGAAAGCUGCGCUAAUACCGCAUACGAUCUCUGGAUGAAAGCGGGGGACUCGCAAGAGCCUCGCGCGAUUGGAGCGGCCGAUAUCAGAUUAGGUAGUUGGUGGGGUAAAAGCCCACCAAGCCGACGAUCUGUAGCUGGUCUGAGAGGACGACCAGCCACAAUGGGACUGAGACACGGCACAGACUGCUACGGGAGGCAGCAGUGGGGAAUUUUGGACAAUGGGCGAAAGCCUGAUCCAGCCAUGCCGCGUGCAGGACGAAGGCCUUCGGGUUGUAAACUGCUUUUGUACGGAACGAAACGGCUCUCUCUAAUACGGGGGGCUAAUGACGGUACCGUAAGAAUAAGCACCGGCUAACUACGUGCCAGCCGCCGCGGUAA
This 495-nucleotide ribosomal RNA is filed under the name uncultured bacterium. Its description in RNAcentral is "partial 16S ribosomal RNA". It matches the Rfam family "Bacterial small subunit ribosomal RNA", at positions 30 to 523 of the family's 1533-position model. The record is from RNAcentral.